Molecule: ribosomal RNA, 502 nt
Filed under: uncultured bacterium
Lineage: Bacteria
Description: bacterial SSU rRNA
Rfam family: Bacterial small subunit ribosomal RNA
Source: RNAcentral
GAUGAACGCUAGCUACAGGCUUAACACAUGCAAGUCGCGGGGUAACAUCUGGUAGAGCUUGCUCUUCCAGGAUGACGACCGGCGCACGGGUGAGUAACGCGUAUCCAACCUGGCCCAUACCACGGGAUAGCCCGUCGAAAGGCGGAUUAAUACCGUAUGCUGUCAUUAAGAUGCAUAUAUUGAUGACGAAAGGACUGGCGGUAUGGGAUGGGGAUGCGUCUGAUUAGCUUGUUGGCGGGGUAACGGCCCACCAAGGCGACGAUCAGUAGGGGUUCUGAGAGGAAGGUCCCCCACAUUGGAACUGAGACACGGUCCAAACUCCUACGGGAGGCAGCAGUGAGGAAUAUUGGUCAAUGGGCGAAAGCCUGAACCAGCCAAGUAGCGUGAGGGAAGACUGCCCUACGGGUUGUAAACUGCUUUUAUGCGGGGAUAAAGUGGGCCACGCGUGGCCUUUUGCAGGUACCGCAUGAAUAAGGACCGGCUAAUUCCGUGCCAGCAGCCG